GGGGCCGUAGCCUAGCCAGAGUCUUAGAUGACUCCUAGAAAGGUAAGGCGUCCGGCUCCAGACCGGAAGACCGGGGGUUCAAGUCCCCCCGGCCCCA
RNAcentral lists this transfer RNA (97 nucleotides) under Thermofilum sp. ex4484_79. RNAcentral's name for it is "tRNA-Trp". It matches the Rfam family "tRNA". Rfam says of the family: Transfer RNA (tRNA) molecules are approximately 80 nucleotides in length. Their secondary structure includes four short double-helical elements and three loops (D, anti-codon, and T loops). The record is from RNAcentral. Lineage: Archaea; Thermoproteati; Thermoproteota; Thermoprotei; Thermofilales; Thermofilaceae.